AUUGAACGCUGGCGGAAUGCUUUACACAUGCAAGUCGAACGGUAGAGGGGGCAACCCCUCGAGAGUGGCGAACGGGUGAGUAAUAUAUCGGAACGUGCCCAGUCGUGGGGGAUAACGUAGCGAAAGUUACGCUAAUAACGCAUACGAUCUAAGGAUGAAAGCGGGGGAGCGCAAGAACUCGCGCGAUUGGAGCGGCCGAUAUCAGAUUAGGUAGUUGGUGGGGUAAAGGCUCACCAAGCCAACGAUCUGUAGCUGGUCUGAGAGGACGAGCAGCCACACUAGAACUGAGACACGGUCCAGACUCCUACGGGAGGCAGCAGUGGGGAAUUUUGGACAAUGGACGCAAGUCUGAUCCAGCCAUUCCGCGUGCAGGAUGAAGGCCCUCGGGUUGUAAACUGCUUUUGUACGGAACGAAAAGGUCUCUCUUAAUACGGGGGGCUCAUGACGGUACCGUAAGAAUAAGCACCGGCUAACUACGUGCCAGCCGCCGCCGUAA
RNAcentral lists this ribosomal RNA (496 nucleotides) under uncultured bacterium. Its description in RNAcentral is "partial 16S ribosomal RNA". It matches the Rfam family "Bacterial small subunit ribosomal RNA", at positions 30 to 523 of the family's 1533-position model. The record is from RNAcentral.